ACGUUAGCGGCGGACGGGUGAGUAACACGUGGGUAACCUACCUAUAAGACUGGGAUAACUUCGGGAAACCGGAGCUAAUACCGGAUAAUAUUUCGAACCGCAUGGUUCGAUAGUGAAAGAUGGUUUUGCUAUCACUUAUAGAUGGACCCGNGCCGUAUUAGCUAGUUGGUAAGGUAACGGCUUACCAAGGCAACGAUACGUAGCCGACCUGAGAGGGUGAUCGGCCACACUGGAACUGAGACACGGUCCAGACUCCUACGGGAGGCAGCAGGC
This 273-nucleotide ribosomal RNA is filed under the name uncultured Staphylococcus sp. Its description in RNAcentral is "partial 16S ribosomal RNA". It matches the Rfam family "Bacterial small subunit ribosomal RNA", at positions 89 to 354 of the family's 1533-position model. The record is from RNAcentral. Lineage: Bacteria; Bacillati; Bacillota; Bacilli; Caryophanales; Staphylococcaceae.